UACGUAGGGUGCAAGCGUUAAUCGGAAUUACUGGGCGUAAAGCGUGCGCAGGCGGUGAUGUAAGACAGGUGUGAAAUCCCCGGGCUUAACCUGGGAACUGCAUUUGUGACUGCAUCGCUGGAGUGCGGCAGAGGGGGAUGGAAUUCCGCGUGUAGCAGUGAAAUGCAUAGAGAUGACAUAGAACACCGAUUGCGAAGGCAGCUCACUACGCGAAGAUUGACGCUGAGGCACGAAAGCGUGGGGAUCAAACAGG
This 253-nucleotide ribosomal RNA is filed under the name uncultured bacterium. Its description in RNAcentral is "partial 16S ribosomal RNA". It matches the Rfam family "Bacterial small subunit ribosomal RNA", at positions 524 to 776 of the family's 1533-position model. The record is from RNAcentral.